RNAcentral lists this ribosomal RNA (434 nucleotides) under uncultured bacterium. Its description in RNAcentral is "partial 16S ribosomal RNA". It matches the Rfam family "Bacterial small subunit ribosomal RNA", at positions 29 to 507 of the family's 1533-position model. The record is from RNAcentral.
AGCGAACGCUGGCGGCAGGCCUAACACAUGCAAGUCGAACGAACCUUUCGGGGUUAGUGGCGGACGGGUGAGUAACACGUGGGAACGUGCCUUUAGGUUCGGAAUAACUCAGGGAAACUUGUGCUAAUACCGAAUGUGCCCUUCGGGGGAAAGAUUUAUCGCCUUUAGAGCGGCCCGCGUCUGAUUAGCUAGUUGGUUGAGGUAAUGGCUCACCAAGGCGACGAUCAGUAGCUGGUCUGAGAGGAUGAUCAGCCACAUUGGGACUGAGACACGGCCCAAACUCCGACGUGAGGCAGCAGUGGGGAAUCUUGCGCAAUGGGCGAAAGCCUGACGCAGCCAUGCCGCGUGAAUGAUGAAGGUCUUAGGAUUGUAAAAUUCUUUCACCGGGGACGAUAAUGACGGUACCCGGAGAAGAAGCCCCGGCUAACUUCGUG